RNAcentral lists this ribosomal RNA (903 nucleotides) under Cladosporium cladosporioides. RNAcentral describes it as "LSU rRNA". It matches the Rfam family "Eukaryotic large subunit ribosomal RNA", at positions 35 to 964 of the family's 3401-position model. Lineage: Eukaryota; Fungi; Ascomycota; Dothideomycetes; Cladosporiales; Cladosporiaceae. The record is from RNAcentral.
UAAGCAUAUCAAUAAGCGGAGGAAAAGAAACCAACAGGGAUUGCUCUAGUAACGGCGAGUGAAGCAGCAAUAGCUCAAAUUUGAAAUCUGGCGUCUUCGACGUCCGAGUUGUAAUUUGUAGAGGAUGCUUCUGAGUAACCACCGACCUAAGUUCCUUGGAACAGGACGUCAUAGAGGGUGAGAAUCCCGUAUGCGGUCGGAAAGGUGCUCUAUACGUAGCUCCUUCGACGAGUCGAGUUGUUUGGGAAUGCAGCUCUAAAUGGGAGGUAAAUUUCUUCUAAAGCUAAAUAUUGGCCAGAGACCGAUAGCGCACAAGUAGAGUGAUCGAAAGAUGAAAAGCACUUUGGAAAGAGAGUUAAAAAGCACGUGAAAUUGUUAAAAGGGAAGGGAUUGCAACCAGACUUGCUCGCGGUGUUCCGCCGGUCUUCUGACCGGUCUACUCGCCGCGUUGCAGGCCAGCAUCGUCUGGUGCCGCUGGAUAAGACUUGAGGAAUGUAGCUCCCUCGGGAGUGUUAUAGCCUCUUGUGAUGCAGCGAGCGCCGGGCGAGGUCCGCGCUUCGGCUAGGAUGCUGGCGUAAUGGUCGUAAUCCGCCCGUCUUGAAACACGGACCAAGGAGUCUAACAUCUAUGCGAGUGUUCGGGUGUCAAACCCCUACGCGUAAUGAAAGUGAACGGAGGUGAGAACCGCAAGGUGCAUCAUCGACCGAUCCUGAUGUCUUCGGAUGGAUUUGAGUAAGAGCAUAGCUGUUGGGACCCGAAAGAUGGUGAACUAUGCCUGAAUAGGGUGAAGCCAGAGGAAACUCUGGUGGAGGCUCGCAGCGGUUCUGACGUGCAAAUCGAUCGUCAAAUUUGGGUAUAGGGGCGAAAGACUAAUCGAACCAUCUAGUAGCUGGUUCCUGCGAA